Molecule: ribosomal RNA, 158 nt
Filed under: Leucopaxillus eucalyptorum
Lineage: Eukaryota; Fungi; Basidiomycota; Agaricomycetes; Agaricales; Tricholomataceae
Description: 5.8S ribosomal RNA
Rfam family: 5.8S ribosomal RNA
About the family: 5.8S ribosomal RNA (5.8S rRNA) is a component of the large subunit of the eukaryotic ribosome. It is transcribed by RNA polymerase I as part of the 45S precursor that also contains 18S and 28S rRNA.
Source: RNAcentral
CAACUUUCAACAACGGAUCUCUUGGCUCUCGCAUCGAUGAAGAACGCAGCAAAAUGCGAUAAGUAAUGUGAAUUGCAGAAUUCAGUGAAUCAUCGAAUCUUUGAACGCACCUUGCGCUCCUUGGUAUUCCGAGGAGCAUGCCUGUUUGAGUGUCAUGA